GCCAGACUCCUACGGGAGGCAGCAGUGGGGAAUAUUGCGCAAUGGGGGAAACCCUGACGCAGCAACGCCGCGUGCAGGAAGAAGGUCUUCGGAUUGUAAACUGUUGUCGCAGGGGAAGAAGACAGUGACGGUACCCUGUGAGAAAGUCACGGCUAACUACGUGCCAGCAGCCGCGGUAAUACGUAGGUGACAAGCGUUGUCCGGAUUUACUGGGUGUAAAGGGCGCGUAGGCGGGAUAGCAAGUCAGUCGUGAAAUGCCGAGGCUUAACCUCGGAGCUGCGAUUGAAACUGUUAUUCUUGAGUAUCGGAGAGGAAAGCGGAAUUCCUAGUGUAGCGGUGAAAUGCGUAGAUAUUAGGAGGAACACCAGUGGCGAAGGCGACUUUCUGGACAAUAACUGACGUUGAGGCACGAAAGUGUGGGGAGCAAACAGGAUUAGAUACCCCAGUAGUA
This 451-nucleotide ribosomal RNA is filed under the name uncultured bacterium. Its description in RNAcentral is "bacterial SSU rRNA". It matches the Rfam family "Bacterial small subunit ribosomal RNA", at positions 330 to 795 of the family's 1533-position model. The record is from RNAcentral.